CUACGGGAUGCUCCAGUGGGGAAUUUUGCGCAAUGGGGGAAACCCUGACGCAGCAAUACCGCGUGAGUGAAGAGGGCCUUUGGGUCGUAAAGCUCUUUUCUUGGGGAAGAUAGUGACGGUACCCAAGGGAUAAGCACCGGCUAACUCCGUGCCAGCAGCCGCGGUAAUACGGAGGGUGCAAGCGUUGUUCGGAUUUACUGGGCGUAAAGGGCACGUAGGCGGCACAGCAAGUUAAGGGUGAAAUCCCGGGGCUCAACUCCGGAACUGCUCUUAAAACUGCUGAGCUAGAGAUAGUCAGAGGCGGGUGGAAUUCCAGGUGUAGAGGUGAAAUUCGUAGAUAUCUGGAGGAACACCGGUGGCGAAGGCGGCCCGCUGGGGCUAUUCUGACGCUAAGGUGCGAAAGCGUGGGGAGCAAACGGGAUUAGAUACCCUGGUAGUC
RNAcentral lists this ribosomal RNA (439 nucleotides) under uncultured bacterium. RNAcentral's name for it is "partial 16S ribosomal RNA". It matches the Rfam family "Bacterial small subunit ribosomal RNA", at positions 339 to 795 of the family's 1533-position model. The record is from RNAcentral.